CCAAACUGAUUUGUUUAAAAUAAAAGCUACAAUACAAUAAAAUGUGUGGACAGUGAAGAGGUCUAAAUUUUACCUUUCUACCUAUCUAUCUAUUGUCACACGUGUGUCCGAAUAUCUCCUCACGGGCUCAUCUCAGGUAUGUAAUAACCUGCUAGGACAAGAGGGGGCGCUGUUGCUAACAGGUUUUUCUCUCUCCACACCAUGCAGAAACUGCCUAUUGAGGGCCCUAAGCCCCUCCCCUUGUGGUCCACGCAACAAAAGAAACCCACCUGCCUGGAAGGAGGCGUCUUUUGUAAACAGCAGAUUGCUGCAUGGAGCUACCUGAAAGACCCAAAUCAUGACAGCUUAAGAUUGUAUUACUUUGCUUUUGUUGAAUUGCCCACCCGGGCUGUAUUUUUGAAGCCAUAAAGGCAUGCAUUUAAGAUGUGGUCCAUAGUCUUCCUCAUCAGCACAUCAACCAGAUAUUUAUAAAGUGGAGCCAUGCUUAUACGCUGCAGGAGUGGUGUUGGCAUGAGAUGCCCUCCCCUUUCUUUUCGGUGGUAAUGGAACAGGACUUGAGACAGAAGCCAUGAGGUUUUCUGUGGUGGCGACCUGCACCCCCACCACCUGAUCAGGGCA
Long non-coding RNA from Polypterus senegalus (gray bichir), 618 nucleotides. RefSeq lists it as uncharacterized. The transcript is spliced from 3 exons. The record is from RefSeq and is a predicted model, not a curated record. Lineage: Eukaryota; Metazoa; Chordata; Cladistia; Polypteriformes; Polypteridae.